CCUGAGGCCAAGACACUACCUUGGGGCUGCACUGAUAAAACUACAAGAUACCUGCUCCAGCCUGGCCUGCUCUUCCUGGACCUCAGCUCCUCACUCAAUGAUGACAGCACUUUUGAAGAAUCACACCUAUGCUGUUUCCAGCUGCUGGUGCUGCUGAAGUCUAGAGAGUGUGCCGCCAGCCCAGGCCAAAAUUGACGCAAAAUACAGACAUUUUUAAACUGAGAAACAAAAUAAGAUGCACUCCGUUUUAAGGAAGCAGAAAUUAUGAAGAGAUACAAAGUCACCAAAACAAUUUUGUUGAUUAAUUGUAAAAUGUGCCACAGAACAGUAAAUAUGAUGGUAAAACGAGAAGCUUCCUUGAGCAAUGAGAAACAAUUUUACUAUCCUAAGAUCAGGCCCAGCAGGGAAAACACCACAGGGUGAGCCUCUGAGUUCUGCAGGUCUGGCUCCAAAGGCCAGAGCUCAGCACUGAUUUUCCUAACACCUACAUCUGGACAGUCAGCAGUUAUUUACUCUUCAAAGGACAUGAGCAAAACAAAGAAAUGCUUCUCUCUACUAACAAUGUUGCUUAAUCAGAAAGAAUCUAAAUUGGAUUUCAAAAGUUUCUGGUCUUCUC
This 616-nucleotide long non-coding RNA is filed under the name Homo sapiens (human). RNAcentral's name for it is "non-protein coding lnc-TMEM242-5:1". Lineage: Eukaryota; Metazoa; Chordata; Mammalia; Primates; Hominidae. The record is from RNAcentral.